This 45-nucleotide non-coding RNA is filed under the name Schistosoma margrebowiei. The record is from RNAcentral. Lineage: Eukaryota; Metazoa; Platyhelminthes; Trematoda; Strigeidida; Schistosomatidae.
AUUCAGCUAACGAGUCCCAAACAGAACGAAACAUAUGUACUGAAU